This 440-nucleotide ribosomal RNA is filed under the name uncultured bacterium. RNAcentral's name for it is "partial 16S ribosomal RNA". It matches the Rfam family "Bacterial small subunit ribosomal RNA", at positions 339 to 795 of the family's 1533-position model. The record is from RNAcentral.
CUACGGGCGGCAGCAGUGAGGAAUAUUGCACAAUGGGGGGAACCCUGAUGCAGCAACGCCGCGUGGAGGAUGACGCAUUUCGGUGUGUAAACUCCUUUUAUAUGUCAAGAAAAUGACGGUAGCAUAUGAAUAAGCACCGGCUAACUCCGUGCCAGCAGCCGCGGUAAUACGGAGGGGUGCAAGCGUUACUCGGAAUCACUGGGCGUAAAGGACGCGUAGGUGGGUUGGAAAGUCAGGUGUGAAAUCCUACAGCUUAACUGUAGAACUGCACUUGAAACUUCUAAUCUAGAGUAUGGGAGGGGGAGAUGGAAUUAGUGGUGUAGGGGUAAAAUCCGUAGAUAUCACUAGGAAUACCUAAAGCGAAGGCGAUCUCCUGGAACAUUACUGACGCUAAGGCGUGAAAGCGUGGGGAGCAAACAGGAUUAGAUACCCGUGUAGUC